Molecule: transfer RNA, 63 nt
Filed under: Gibbosula crassa
Lineage: Eukaryota; Metazoa; Mollusca; Bivalvia; Unionida; Margaritiferidae
Description: tRNA-Glu
Source: RNAcentral
GCUAACUGGGUGUACAACGCACAUUGGCUUUUCACGCCAAAAGAACAUACCAUGUAUUUAGCU